CGGGGUAUGUACUUAAAUCGUACGGUAUUGUAAUUGUAAUAGCGGUAUCGAUUUUGAAGGAUUAACAGAUUUUUCUUUCAAAUUUUUACAUAUUUCACGUUAAAACAGGAUAGAAAAUAAGAAUGGAUAUAAAAAGACAGUAAAUAUGAUUACAACUAGAGACCUAGAUAACUACAUCUCUGUUACAGCCUAGUGAACUCCGAUAACCGGCUCUCUGCGUAGACACACCCAUACAGUGUAACAUCGGCCACAUGAUCAUUUGAUCUCAUUCAACCAUUGAAUCUCAGGAAGCCACAACAAGAAAGAUGGGAAUUGCAAAAUCUUUCAGUCGUCUUCGAUCUUUUCUCAUUUACUGGUACUUCCAGUACGAACUAAAUACCGCAUUGUACAUGCUCGAACCUGCAGAGAAGACUAUAGUCAAUACGAUAGCUGUUGCCAUUGUUGGGCUAAUUUUGUUUGCUGCUUUGACCUAUUUACCAGGUCACCUGAUCAUGAUGAUCCAUUUUCUACAGGGUACACAUGAAAGCACGAGUUCCUGAUAUUAUACAUGUAGGGGGAUAUUGCAGUGUAUUCAAUAUAGAAGUCAUGUACGUGAAAUUUUGUAAAAACGUGAACCAUAAAUGCGAACAUUGGUUUAAAAAUGUGAACAUGAUGGCUGGUGAAAAAAUGAACAAAAUUCAUGUUAUUUACAUGUGACAAAUGUUUGUAAUCAAUUCAUAUUUUUGCUGUGACUUUCUGUGUCAUUCAACCAUAUAUGUGAUGAUCCAUCCAAAAAAAGUUAAUUCAACAAAAGUUCGUAACAAAAAUCGGCAAUAUAAAUUUUCACCAUGUAUUGAACCGAGCAGACCCACCUCUUUCCGAUUAGAUACGGAAAGUAACGAAUAUUGCCGAUUUUUUACGAGCUUUUGUCGGAUAACAUUAUUUACCAGCAAGUUAUGUUGCCAUUCAUGUGAUAAAUAUAUUUGUAUAUCUAAGUCUUUGAAUUGUGCUGAGCUUAAUAAAUUGAGAACAUUUGUUUAAUUUUCGUUAAAGCAUUUGUAAUUUAAGAGAGCUCGCAUCUUUUCACAAACAGUUCUCAUUUUCAAGUUUCCAUGUUAUUAAGGAUGUACAUGUACUUUUUUUUGUUUUUCAUGAUAACUGACAUAAUUUAUUUCCUUAUGCACGUACAUGUACUUUCAUCUGGCUAUUGUUUAAUUUAUUAUUAUCAUAUUAAUAUUAUUUAUUUUCUAUGUACAUAUACAUUUUUUUAUUUAACACAUUAAAUUACCGUCUCACACAGUCAGCAAAUAUAAUUAAUAUGUAAUUCAUUUUUCAUUGAAAAUUUGGUCAUUAAAAUGACAUUAUAUA
This is a long non-coding RNA of Ruditapes philippinarum (Manila clam), 1347 nucleotides long. RefSeq lists it as uncharacterized. The record is from RefSeq and is a predicted model, not a curated record. Lineage: Eukaryota; Metazoa; Mollusca; Bivalvia; Venerida; Veneridae. The transcript is spliced from 3 exons.